Molecule: ribosomal RNA, 200 nt
Filed under: uncultured bacterium
Lineage: Bacteria
Description: partial 16S ribosomal RNA
Rfam family: Bacterial small subunit ribosomal RNA
Source: RNAcentral
UACGGAGGAUCCAAGCGUUAUCCGGAAUCAUUGGGUUUAAAGGGUCCGUAGGCGGUUUUAUAAGUCAGUGGUGAAAUCUCCCCGCUCAACGGGGAAACUGCCAUUGAUACUGUAAGACUUGAAUAAUUGUGAAGUAACUAGAAUAUGUAGUGUAGCGGUGAAAUGCUUAGAGAUUACAUGGAAUACCAAUUGCGAAGGCA